This is a long non-coding RNA of Neofelis nebulosa (Clouded leopard), 5682 nucleotides long. RefSeq lists it as uncharacterized. NCBI's taxonomy places the organism in Eukaryota, Metazoa, Chordata, Mammalia, Carnivora, Felidae. The transcript has 2 exons. The record is from RefSeq and is a predicted model, not a curated record.
UUUUUUGUAACUCAAAGGUCUGCCUACAGGUGGAUUUUUGUUGUUGAAUGAAGUUAGGCACAGAGGUAAGAAAGAUAAGGAAAAUAACUUAGUUACUCUGAUAUUUGUUUUCUUUAUCUGUAGAAUGAAAAGAUUGGAAUUGUUGAGUUCUAAAUUCCCUUUAGCUGAAAUAUACUCUCAAUAUUUAUAAUAGGAUAGUAAUAUGGUACAAAUGGCUUUGAAGAUUGAUUUUAUUGUAUGAUGUGGAUGUAAUUGUAAGAGAGGAAAAUUGAUUGGAGGCUGUUAAAAGUCAUCCAGGUUUGAUAUAAUAAAAAUGUAAAAAUAUAGUGAUGACAGAAAGUCAGAAAUAUCUAGAUUGAAUUAGAUUGAUAAGGGGAAGAAGAGAGAGGAAUUUUUUAAACGAGUCACUUAUUCAUCCAACAAGUUAUUUAAUCUAAGUUUUAUUACACAUUAAAAAAUACUGCUCACCGAAUGAAUAUAAAGGUUGAAUGUAAUAAUGUAUAUAAAGCUCCCAACAGCGUGCCUAACGUAGUGAACAUACACGUUUUCAUUUUCUUUUGUUGCAUACAGUUUGCCAGACCAUAUGGUUUGCAUAUGGUGCCUCUCUUCUUUUAAGUAGGUUUUACUUAAGUAGGUUUUAUUUUAGUGCAAUGACAAAUCUGAAGACACUAAAAGACCGAUCAUUUGUUCUCUUUCAAAUGCAUGACCCAAACAAUAUUUAGAUAUUACCUACAUGAAUUUCCCACCCUCUGUCCAACUUCAGCCAGAAUGGUGGCCCAUAGCUGGCGUUGAUAGUAGUUUUAGUGAUCAAAGACAGGGUAGGGUGGGUAGACUGCAGAGCGAUAGCAAAGCCUAAAGUUGAGCCUUUGAAGGGGAAUUUCUAGUUUUUUCCUAAAAGAUUAUUCCAGUCCUCUUCAAGUACUCCUUUUGAGGCAGAGAUUACAAAUUGAUGAUGAAAUAUAAUCUCUGCCCAUGGUGAGAUACCAUUAGGAUUCUCCGUGUUAUUUGGGAAUACAAAGGUUGUGUGUCUCUGUAAACACAUACAUGAGACAUAGAUACAAAAGGGCCAAAGAGCAGAAUUCCCAAGCAAAGGGUCUUCCAGCAGAGAUUUUGCAUCUCUGCUGUGUUAUAUUUAAUUUUUUCCUCAAUACAUAUAUGUAACUAUUUCACCAGUACUGCUUGUGUCUUUGGUUGGCUCAUCAUUCUUAAGUUUAAACUAUAAUUUAUCUGUCCCUAGGUAAACUUUAAAGGGCAAUCAGAAGAGAAAUAUAUGUUGUAUUUUCUUUGUUAGAGGGUGUGCCUGUCUAGGACCAGCUAGUUUCUUUCUUUUACUUGAAUGUCUGCAGUUUGUGGAUCUUUUAGUUGUGUGAGCUGUCUAGAGUUGAUUGAGAGGAAAAAAAGCAACCCAGACUCUUCUGCUUGAGUCGUAAGUAGGUGGGAAGAAGGAUGGUAUAGUGUCUGAGAGCCUGGGCUCUGGCACCUUCAUACUUACUGUAUGUAGAGAUGAGGGUGUCCUUAGACUUGGUUGUAAGACCACCAUCUUAGGUUGAUAGCACCGGAGACCUUCUGAUCUCCUGAUUUUCUUUCCAGACCCAGAAUCAAGUUUGUAGCAUAUUUUUGUUAUUGAAGUGAGGAACCGUUUUUCCCCUUUUGAUCUUGUUCAUAAGCCAUGCUUAUAAUUCUAGAAUAUUUAUUAGGAUAUCCUUUAUGCAGUCCUGAAUUCAAGUGUCUUAGUAAGGUUUUUUAAGAGUUUUUUAUUUCUUUAUUUUGAGAGAGAGGGAGAGAGGGAGAGGGAGAGAGAGAGAGAGAGAAUGCGCAUGCAAGUGGGGGGGGGGGGAAGGGCACAGAGACAGAGGGAGAGAGAGAAUCCCAAGCAGGCUCUGUGCUGUUAGUGCAGAGCCCAAUGCGGGGCUUGAUUCCACAACUCUGGGAUCGCGACCUGAGCCAAAAUCGAGAGUUGGAUGCUUAACUGACUGAGCCAGCCAGGUAUCCCUGUUUUAGUAAGGUUUUAAAAAAUAUUAGCUAUCAUUAGUUUAAUCCCCUUAUGUGCUUAAAUUAUACUAAAAAUUAUAUUGUAACUUAAAAGGAAAACAUUUUAUUUAUUCACGGUAGGGGGAAAAUAGAAAUUAUUUUCUUUAAAGGUUUACAGUUCCUAUUUUUUCAGUUAUUUUUACUAUAUUAUCCCCAGAAUAUAUAUUCUUUGGUAGAAUCUGUGUCAGGGAGGGAGAUAAAAUUUUAUUCAAUCAUAGGCCAGAGAAAGCAGCUGAGGCAUACACCGAAAUAUGUAUCCAGAAAGGCAUAGGAGGUCUGGAAGAGGAGUAGGUAAGUAAAACUUUGAAAACAUCUAGAGAGAAUAAGAGAUUAAGAAUACUGGUGGAAUAGAAGCUAUUACCUAUUAUACUUAGAAAAUGGUUCUCUUGGGGCGCCUGGGUGGCUAAGUUAAGUGUCUGACUCUUGAUUUCAGCUCAGGCAUGAUCUCAUGGUUUGUGAGUUUGAGCCCCAUGUCAGGACCUCUCAGGAGCCUGUUUUGGAUUCUCUAUCUCGUUCUCUCUCUGUCCCUCCCCCAACUGCUCUCUCUCAAAAGUAAAAAAAUAUUUUUAAAAAAUGGUACUCUGUGCUUGAAUUUCUUUACCACAGUAAUUAGACCAUGGUCUGUGGAACGGUUAUGUAACUUAAAUUUAAAAAAGGUGUCAUAGUGCAUUUCAGAACAUCAAAUGAUAAAAGCAAAAUGGUCUCCUAAGAGCCAGUGGACAAAAAUUUUAAAUGUUUAUUAGUUUGUCAAUAGGACAUAGAGAUUUAAGUAAUCGGUACUUCCACCGAUUAAAGAAAGCUCUAUGUAUUUCAAACAGUGCAUGACUUCAGUACUUUUGUAUUUUGCUUGCUCAACCUAUGUUUAUCCCGUCCCUUAAAAUAUCUUUGUUUCAGAGUUUAUACUCCUGACAGGGAAAAAAAAAGAAAGAAAGAAACUUGUAUUUUAGGUGCUACUUUAUAAAAUCUGAAUUAUCAGUUCAGCUUCAGAAAAUCACACCUUAUAAUACAGUAUUAUGUAAUUUAUUUAUUUUUGAAUUUAUUAAGAAAAAGGAAAGGGGAAUGAAUUUUAUUGGGACUCACUUGGCAUGUUCAUGGACCAGUAAAUAAACCGGUAUAGCUAGAUCAGUGUUCUCAAGAGAGAAUUAUAGGAGAGGAAUUGGAAACAACGGGUAAGCCUCACUCUUUUGAGGGAUUUUGCUAUUAAGGAGAGCAGAGAAAUGAGGCAUUGGCUGGCUGUAAGUGAUCCUGAGAGAAGGUAUUUGUAUGUGAGAAAUUGCAGCAUGUUUGUAGUCUAAUCAGAAUGAUUUUGUAGAGGGAGGAGAUGAUGUUGUAGGAGAGAGGGAAAGAGUUGCUGGUGACAUAUCUUCAAGUGGGCACCUGGUAUGGGAUCGAGUAUGUUUAUGGAAAAACUGGCCAUUGGGUAGAGCUCAAGAGAGUGCAUCUGUAGUAACUGUAUGAAGCAUAGGGAAGAUGGGAUCAGAUAUUAGGGUAAUUUGAUCAAGAAAAACAAGGUGUAGGUAGAUACUCUUCAUUUUUGGAAAGGUUUAAUAAAAGCACAAAUAAUUAUCCUUUUAGCAUAGUGCAAAGGGAAUGAAAUUGGAGGGAGAUAAAAUUUGAGUACAGAUUCUAGCUCUGUGAUUUACUAGCCGACGUGAACUUAGUUACAACAUCCCGGUAUAUUCAGGGGUGCAGAAAUAGAAUUCAUGCCAGGGUGGUUCAAAUAAAAAGAUGUUAAUGAAGAAUCUACUUUGAGAGAAUGAGCAGGGUUAAAAGAAUGGACAAGGGAUGGUUCAUCAGCUAGAGACUAGCAACUAUGGAAAGCUGUUACCUGGGGCCGGAAGGACAGGGUGGAAAUGGGGUUUUCAGAAGGGAAGACCAUCUAGUAAGAGCUGUAGUAAAGGGGGGUUGGGGGGGGGACACAGUGGUAUGUAGGCAGCAGAAAAGAAAUGACUUUGAUUUCUCUUUCCUCUAAGACCCCAGUUCCCUGCUGGUGGCUCCCAGCCAAAGCAGAAACCAGCUGCAUGGGAGUUCAGCCUCCCCAGGGUCAAGGGAAGGGCAAAGAAGGAAUCUGGGAGGCAAAUGCCGAAGUAUUAGUAUGAUCACCAAGCCUCAACUUUUCCAUAUAGAAAAUGGGGUUACUUGCAAAAAAUUGUUGUGAUUUUACAUGGCUGCCAAGUGCCUGCCACAUUGUUAGGACAUAACAGCAUUUAGUAAAUGAUGAUAAUUCUAAGAUGACGUGGCAUUGUGGUUAAAAAUCCUUAAAGCUUUGGAGUUAGAGUUGAAUCUAGUUUCUGUCUCUGCCACUUACUAGUCAUGUGACUUUGGGCAGGUUACUUAACCUUUCUUAGUCUCUGUUGUAUCAUCUGUAACAUGGGGAAAAAAGGCUUACCACAGAGAAUUCUAGUAGAGAUUAAAGGAGACAAUAGGUAUUAAGUGCCUAACAUAGUGCUGGGAUAUAGCAUAUAGUCUAAGUUACCCUGAACAUAAUCAUAUUAUUUGAUUGCUUAGUAGGGGUAGUGAAUGAGAUUAGUUUUUAAUACUAGUCCUCCCACCACCUGCCCUACACACACACACACACACACACACACACCCCUUUUCCUGCUUCUCAGGUUUUCUGACCGGGGCCCUUCUUUGUCAUACAGGGGUCAAGGAUACUGUCUUUGCACGUUGGACUUAGUACAGUUUUAGUUAAACGCUUUGGCUAUCCAUUUAUGUUUUUGGCUUAUGUUCAGUAAACUCAAUCACAGAGUUAAAUGGGUUCUUUAUUGGGUCUGAGUUGGAAAGCAUAGAUACAGAAAAACUUGGGAAUACUGAAAUUCAGCCAAUUUCAUUAGGAUAGAUUUAUACACAAAGCGCAAGUAAAAUAUCACUAAGAAAUAAAAGAAUAAAAGGUAUUGUAACAGUUAAUUCACAGCUGUACCAUAAUACUUUUUAAAUUUCACGUAAGUACAACAGUAAUGUAAGUUUGACUUAAGGCACAUAUAUGUUUUUCUUUUUGGCUACAUAGGGAACAAUGAAAUAAAACCUCAUUGACGUAAUUGACCCUGAUAACAUCUCCUGGUUGUACUGCUGAUGUUUCACUGUGGUGUUGGUGGUUUUGCAGAGUUCUGUAAAGCAUGUUGGACUUACAAACAUAUUCAAACAGAAACUUUUAUCAGGAUUCAGUUUUUUAACCACAAAGUUGAAUUUAUAUGAAGGCAUAGUCUUGGGUUCCUUUUAUCAAAUCAACUAAAAACAUUUUUUAGUAGUAUACACCUCAUAUGUUACUUAAAUGCUGUUUUUUUUGAACAGAUUACUGCAGUAUGUGAAAAUAUAUAUCGAUUUCUGAUACUAUAUUAUAUUCGAGCUUAGAAGGAAACAGAUGAAUAUAAUAUUGGAAGCUCCUAAAACAGCACUUAAAAGUUCAUGCUUUCAUUAUUAAACAAUGUCUUAUAGUAGAACCAUAUUUUGAAAACCUACCAUACCCACUAUAACUUCUUUUUUUACUGUGCUUCAAAAUUUAGCUAAUUUAAAUUACUUAUUUUUAUAUUUAAAUUAUUUACAUGAUCUACUUUGGUAUUGGUACUAAAGUUUAGUGCCUAAAAUUUUGCUGACUUGGGAACAACAUAUAUACAGGACAUAUACUGAUACACUGUUUACUUGGAAGUAAGA